GGCGCCAUGGCUUAGUUGGUUUAAAGCGCCUGUCUAGUAAACAGGAGAUCCCGAGUUCGAAUCUCGGUGGUGCCU
RNAcentral lists this transfer RNA (75 nucleotides) under Pollicipes pollicipes. RNAcentral's name for it is "tRNA-Thr". It matches the Rfam family "tRNA". Rfam says of the family: Transfer RNA (tRNA) molecules are approximately 80 nucleotides in length. Lineage: Eukaryota; Metazoa; Arthropoda; Thecostraca; Pollicipedomorpha; Pollicipedidae. The record is from RNAcentral.